UAAAAUAAAAUAAAAUAAAAUAAAAGUUGUAUCAAAAUCUGCUGCACCAUGGGAGUGUUUUACACAUGUGAUGUGGCAUCUACCUUAUGUACCAUAAUGGAAAAAUGUUUGAGAACCACUGCACUAGGCCAAAGGCUGGGAUGUGUAUACUUUGCUGCCGUGUAUAAUUGUAUGUCCUUGUUCUCUAAACGGAAUUGGUUAUGUUUAGUGAACAGUUAGGUGGUUCUCCAUGUGUUUAUAUACACAGACGAUCCCCGAAUUUGGAUGGUUCAACUUAAGAGUUUUCAAACUUACGAUGAUAUGAAAGUGAUAUACAUUUGAUACAUUCCUACAACUUACAAUGGGGUUAUGUCCCAUAAUUGUUUUGACUUAUGAUAUUUUCAACUUACAAUUGAUGGGUUUACUGAGACAUAACCCUCUUGUAACUUGAGGAGCAUGUGUAUAUUUGUACAUACAUGAUGGUGUGUGUUUAUACACAAAGGCCUGAAUAUACACACCAUGAGCAUUUGAAGGUCUUUGUCAAGGUUGUUUCUGUUUCUGAUCUCUUGCCUACUUUAAAACCCAAGAGGUAGAACAUUAUGCAUAUUACAGGCAAAACUAUGCUUGAGUUUAUAGCAAUGUAGUUUGUAGAAAGGAUUCCUGGAUGUUUUACUAAGCCUUUCCUCCUCCAUUCAACAUUAUAUGAAUUGUUAAGAACAUAUAAAGUACCACUGUUGAAUGUGACUUUUCUAUACUGUUAGUUAAGAAACCAAGACUAGUGUUAGCUGAGUAACUGGCAUGUUGAUGCAACCUAUACAGGUUUUGUAUUUAAUUAGGUUCCUUAUUCAGUUAUUCAAGUAUCCAGUUAUUUAGUUUCAAGGUAGAUUUCUUUGUUUUUAUAUUUAAUAAAAGACUUGCAUAUAAGUUCCUCUUCAUGAAAAUAGUGGCUAGGCUAGUGUGAUUUUAAGUAUGUCUGGCAACUCAAAAUGUAAUGGAUUCAUCAAGCUAUUUGGGAUUUUUAACAUAAAACACACUGCUGCUUGAUUAAUGUGUUCAGUUUUCCCCUGGAUAUUUGCUAUUAGGCUGAUAGCCAUUUGGUUGGAUUCUUCUGGAGAGUAAUUGAUUCUCUAAGGUAAUGGGGUGCUGCAGUGGGUGUAGCAUUCACCCAGGUCACUAGAAUCCUACCUGUUUCAUCACAUAGAAGGCCCUGGCCAUGGGGAAGAGUGAAUGCAGCUUCUCCGGAUGCCUUAUUUCCACAGACAUGCUGAUAUGCUGGAACAAUCUGGCUCCAGGAGUAUUAAUAUACUUUUUUGAGACUGUCUACAAAAUACUAUUUUGUAAAAACUAUGCCUUUACAUAGACAUUGAUAGGUUAUAUUUGUUUUAUAACAAUUGUGUACCUAAUGUUUGUGAUUAAUUUUGAGAUUUAUGUAUAUUUAUAAGCCUAUCUUAUGUAAAUUUUUACUCUAAGAUGUGUGGCACAUUACUAAUAAAGACGUGGAUUUCUAUUUAUGUAAAGUAAUUGUAGCAAUAUUCCUAGAUGCUACCUAAAUGAUUGUUCUGUCCAUUUGCCAUCACAAAUACUUUUAUCUUUGGAUGAUUAUGUUAGUCAGAAUAUAUUAAUUAGAUUUAAACUUUAAAAUAAGAAUUACAACAUAGUUUGAAAUUCUUCCUGUUGAUGUAAUUAAAGUUAGUUUAUAAUUCCUU
RNAcentral lists this long non-coding RNA (1685 nucleotides) under Homo sapiens (human). RNAcentral's name for it is "non-protein coding lnc-FRRS1L-1:3". Lineage: Eukaryota; Metazoa; Chordata; Mammalia; Primates; Hominidae. The record is from RNAcentral.